UACGUAGGGGGCAAGCGUUAUCCGGAUUUACUGGGUGUAAAGGGAGCGCAGACGGCAGUGCAAGUCUGAUGUGAAAGCCCGGGGCUCAACCCCGGAACUGCAUUGGAAACUGUACAGCUUGAGUGUCGGAGAGGUAAGCGGAAUUCCUAGUGUAGCGGUGAAAUGCGUAGAUAUUAGGAGGAACACCGGUGGAGAAGGCGGAUUACCGGACGAUUACUGACGUUGAGGCUCGAAAGCGUGGGGAGCAAACAGGAUUAGAUACCCUGGUAGUCCCUGA
RNAcentral lists this ribosomal RNA (277 nucleotides) under uncultured prokaryote. RNAcentral's name for it is "partial 16S ribosomal RNA". It matches the Rfam family "Bacterial small subunit ribosomal RNA", at positions 524 to 800 of the family's 1533-position model. The record is from RNAcentral.